CCUACGGGGGGCAGCAGUGGGGAAUAUUGGACAAUGGGCGAAAGCCUGAUCCAGCCAUGCCGCGUGUGUGAAGAAGGCCUUCGGGUUGUAAAGCACUUUCAGUGGGGAAGAAAGCCUUGGGGCUAAUACCCUCGAGGAAGGACAUCACCCACAGAAGAAGCACCGGCUAACUCCGGGCCAGCAGCCGCGGUAAUACGGAGGGUGCGAGCGUUAAUCGGAAUUACUGGGCGUAAAGCGCGCGUAGGCGGUCUGAUAAGCCGGUUGUGAAAGCCCCGGGCUCAACCUGGGAACGGCAUCCGGAACUGUCAGGCUAGAGUGCAGGAGAGGAAGGUAGAAUUCCCGGUGUAGCGGUGAAAUGCGUAGAGAUCGGGAGGAAUACCAGUGGCGAAGGCGGCCUUCUGGACUGACACUGACGCUGAGGUGCGAAAGCGUGGGUAGCAAACAGGAUUAGAUACCCUGGUAGUC
Molecule: ribosomal RNA, 465 nt
Filed under: Vreelandella stevensii
Lineage: Bacteria; Pseudomonadati; Pseudomonadota; Gammaproteobacteria; Oceanospirillales; Halomonadaceae
Description: partial 16S ribosomal RNA
Rfam family: Bacterial small subunit ribosomal RNA
Source: RNAcentral